This 45-nucleotide non-coding RNA is filed under the name Trichobilharzia regenti. Lineage: Eukaryota; Metazoa; Platyhelminthes; Trematoda; Strigeidida; Schistosomatidae. The record is from RNAcentral.
ACUUAGCUGAUGAGUCCUAAACAGAACGAAGUGCACAUCCUGAAU